RNAcentral lists this ribosomal RNA (911 nucleotides) under Soehngenia sp. enrichment culture clone B312138. Its description in RNAcentral is "bacterial SSU rRNA". It matches the Rfam family "Bacterial small subunit ribosomal RNA", at positions 8 to 916 of the family's 1533-position model. The record is from RNAcentral. Lineage: Bacteria; Bacillati; Bacillota; Tissierellia; Tissierellales; Tissierellaceae.
AGAGUUUGAUCAUGGCUCAGGACGAACGCUGGCGGCGUGCCUAACACAUGCAAGUCGAGCGAAGUGACUCGGAGAGGAGUUUUCGGAUGGAUCGAAGAGUCAUCUGAGCGGGGGGAGGUGUGAUAACGCGCGUGAGAAACCUGCCUUUCACAAAGGGAUAGCCUCGGGAAACUGGGAUUAAUACCUUAUGAAAAUUAAAUUACCGCAUGGUAGAUCAGUCAAAGCGAAUAAGCGGUGAAAGAUGGUCUCGCGUCCUAUUAGCUAGUUGGUGAGGUAACGGCUCACCAAGGCUUCGAUAGGUAGCCGGCCUGAGAGGGUGAACGGCCACACUGGAACUGAGACACGGUCCAGACUCCUACGGGAGGCAGCAGUGGGGAAUAUUGCACAAUGGAGGAAACUCUGAUGCAGCGACGCCGCGUGAAUGAUGAAGGCCUUCGGGUCGUAAAGUUCUGUCCUUGGGGAAGAUAAUGACGGUACCCAAGGAGGAAGCCCCGGCUAACUACGUGCCAGCAGCCGCGGUAAUACGUAGGGGGCGAGCGUUGUCCGGAAUUAUUGGGCGUAAAGGGUUCGCAGGCGGUCUGAUAAGUCAGAUGUGAAAGGCGUAGGCUCAACCUACGUAAGCAUUUGAAACUGUCAGACUUGAGUUAAGGAGAGGAAAGUGGAAUUCCUAGUGUAGCGGUGAAAUGCGUAGAUAUUAGGAGGAAUACCAGUGGCGAAGGCGACUUUCUGGACUUAUACUGACGCUGAGGAACGAAAGCGUGGGGAGCAAACAGGAUUAGAUACCCUGGUAGUCCACGCCGUAAACGAUGAGUGCCAGGUGUUGGGGGUCAAACCUCGGUGCCGCAGCUAACGCAUUAAGCACUCCGCCUGGGGAGUACGUACGCAAGUAUGAAACUCAAAGGAAUUGACGG